Molecule: ribosomal RNA, 432 nt
Filed under: Bacillus subtilis
Lineage: Bacteria; Bacillati; Bacillota; Bacilli; Caryophanales; Bacillaceae
Description: bacterial SSU rRNA
Rfam family: Bacterial small subunit ribosomal RNA
Source: RNAcentral
CUUGCUCCUGAUGUUACGGCGGANGGGUGAGUACACGUGGGUACCUGCCUGUAAGACUGGGAUAACUCCGGGAAACCGGGGCUAAUACCGGAUGGUUGUUUGAACCGCAUGGUUCAAACAUAAAAGGUGGCUUCGGCUACCACUUACAGAUGGACCCGCGGCGCAUUAGCUAGUUGGUGAGGUAACGGCUCACCAAGGCAACGAUGCGUAGCCGACCUGAGAGGGUGAUCGGCCACACUGGGACUGAGACACGGCCCAGACUCCUACGGGAGGCAGCAGUAGGGAAUCUUCCGCAAUGGACGAAAGUCUGACGGAGCAACGCCGCGUGAGUGAUGAAGGUUUUCGGAUCGUAAAGCUCUGUUGUUAGGGAAGAACAAGUACCGUUCGAAUAGGGCGGUACCUUGACGGUACCUAACCAGAAAGCCACGGCUA